Molecule: long non-coding RNA, 474 nt
Filed under: Ananas comosus (pineapple)
Lineage: Eukaryota; Viridiplantae; Streptophyta; Magnoliopsida; Poales; Bromeliaceae
Description: long non-coding RNA (ACOM_LNC031808)
Source: RNAcentral
AUUUUAAAAAUUAAAUUAGAGUUUAAAUUUAGAUUUAAAUCUAUGAAUCAAAUUUAAAAUUUAAUUUUAAUUUUGGAUCUAUUAUUUAAAUUUAAAUAAUUGUUGAUUUGAUAGAUAUUUUUAAAUUACUCUGUUUUUCAAACUAUUUGUUUUAAGUUAGUUAAUUAUUAUUAGCCUUAGUUUGAUAUUGAGACCUAUCUGAUGCUAUUAAAUAAAAUGGAAUUGGGAUAAAAGCAUAUAGGAUAUACUUCUGCGUUCUUCGGUGGAACCAUAGAAAAUAUAGCAUAACCGACUCAUCACAAUAUACGGAACGCGAUAUUACGUACGAAUACAAACAAGAUAUUUCCCACCGCACUUUCUCACCGCACGUAACACAAUUUCCUCGCAAUUCCAAACAAAUCCAUAGGGUACACGUUAAAUUUACAAAUUAAAUUAAACUUAAAAUAAAAUUUAAGUUAAAAUAAUUUUUGAAAU